RNAcentral lists this ribosomal RNA (374 nucleotides) under uncultured organism. RNAcentral's name for it is "partial 16S ribosomal RNA". It matches the Rfam family "Bacterial small subunit ribosomal RNA", at positions 527 to 896 of the family's 1533-position model. The record is from RNAcentral.
GUAGGUGGCAAGCGUUGUCCGGAAUUAUUGGGCGUAAAGCGCGCGCAGGCGGUCCUUUAAGUCUGAUGUGAAAGCCCACGGCUCGACCGUGGAGGGUCAUUGGAAACUGGGGGACUUGAGUACAGAAGAGGAAAGCGGAAUUCCAAGUGUAGCGGUGAAAUGCGUAGAGAUUUGGAGGAACACCAGUGGCGAAGGCGGCUUUCUGGUCUGUAACUGACGCUGAGGCGCGAAAGCGUGGGGAGCAAACAGGAUUAGAUACCCUGGUAGUCCACGCCGUAAACGAUGAGUGCUAAGUGUUAGGGGGUUUCCCGCCCCCUUAGUGCUGCAGCUAACGCAUUAAGCACUCCGCCUGGGGGAGUACGGCCGCAAGGCUG